UGCUUAGGAAUGUGAUAGUGAAAAUCAAUUGAAGCUUCCCAUGCUUAUCUUUUCUUGGUACAAAAGCAAACAGGAUCAGAAACCAAUAAAAUCAUUAUUAACUACUUAAAAGCCACCCAAAAAUGUAAACAUAUUAGAAGUGUUUAUUUUGGCACUCGUGGUGAAAGUGCCAAUAUAUAUCUGCUGAAAAUAACUUGACUAUAGUUCUGAGAGCUGAAAUGUAAUACAGCAGCUAAUGACAGUUGCAGUGUCUAUUGAUACCUCUUGGCCCUCUGAUUCUGGAGCUUACAUAGAGAGACUGUUUUCCUGGGCGAUUUCACAUUAAUAAUAAAUGAGGCCUAGGCAGCAUUUUUGAAGGGUAGUUUGGACUCAUGGGCCUGCAUGUCAUUCUGGCAUACAAUCAAACUUUCAAAUAAUGUAUUGAUUACUAUGAAUGUUGUGGUCAGAUCUCAUUGUCAGGGUAUUGCAUGCUAUUUAGUAUCUGUGAGGUUCAACAUGACACUUGUCUUGAAGACUGAUUUCAUAUUU
Suncus etruscus (white-toothed pygmy shrew) is the source of this 528-nucleotide long non-coding RNA. RefSeq lists it as uncharacterized. The record is from RefSeq and is a predicted model, not a curated record. NCBI's taxonomy places the organism in Eukaryota, Metazoa, Chordata, Mammalia, Eulipotyphla, Soricidae. The transcript is spliced from 2 exons.